AGAGACACCAGACAAGACACAGAGACAGCAACAGAGGAAUAGGAUUUGAUGGAGAGAGACACCAGACAAGACACAGAGACAGCAACAGAGGAAUAGGAUUUGAUGGAGAGAGACACCAGACAAGACACAGAGACAGCAACAGAAUAGGAUAUGACAGAGAGAGACACCAGACAAGACACUGAGACAGCAACAGACGACACAGAGAAAGUGAUGGAGAGAGACAGAAGAAUAGAGUUCCAGACAGUUGUAGAAUGUAUGCCAAGACACAUUGUAAGAGCUGUAAAGAGAGAGGGAGGGAGAGAGAACAGGCAGAACCUGAUAUGUAAAUGAGCAGAGCAAAUGAAACUAACUUUUGACGACCUGAUGAUCAUUCAGACUGUUUCUAUUGAGAGAUAAAAGGCUGGUUGAAUGAGUUGCCUAUGAAAGCUACUUCAUCUGUAAGAAAACAGGCGUCUGCACCAGUGACUGGGUCAGUGCUCUAAAAUGAGUCUCUCUGGGGAGAGAGAGGGGGCCCUGCCUCUAAAAUGAGUCUCUCUGGGGAGAGAGAGAAGGGGGCCCUGCCUCUAAAAUGCAUCUCUCUGGGGAACAUGACACCAAAGCUAAGAGGUGAGAUGACUAUUUUUGAUAUCAUUAUUAUGAGUUUAUUUCCAAAAUGUUCACAUUGUUUUUUUAAUCAGAAAUGGUUGCUUAUGGGUACCUUC
Long non-coding RNA from Oncorhynchus keta (chum salmon), 701 nucleotides. RefSeq lists it as uncharacterized. The transcript has 3 exons. Lineage: Eukaryota; Metazoa; Chordata; Actinopteri; Salmoniformes; Salmonidae. The record is from RefSeq and is a predicted model, not a curated record.